This 649-nucleotide ribosomal RNA is filed under the name Tetranychus pueraricola. RNAcentral's name for it is "12S ribosomal RNA". The record is from RNAcentral. Lineage: Eukaryota; Metazoa; Arthropoda; Arachnida; Trombidiformes; Tetranychidae.
AUUUAAUUUUUUAAUUAAAAAAAUUUUAAUUAUAUAUAAACAAAAAAAAAACAUAAUAAAAAAAAUUAAUUAAUUAAAUGAAUUAAUAAAAUAUUUUUUUAUAGCGUGCCAGCAAAUGCGGUUAAACGAUUAAUUUAAAUUAAGUUUAAAAUUUAAACUAAAAAAAAACAAAAAAAAGAUUUUUAAAGUAAAAUUUAAAAAAAUUAAUAUAGUUUUUUAAGUUAAAAAUUAAAAAAUAAAUUAAUUGGAUUAGAUACCCAAGUAAAAAAAUUUUUUAGUAAUAAACUUAUAGAGUUAAACUAGAAAUUAUUGGCGGUAAAAUAUUAUAGUUAAAGGGUCUUGAUUAUUUAUAGAAAAUACACAUUAGAAAAAAACUUAAAAUUUUCAAUUUAUUUAUCUCCGUAAAAAAAGUAAAAUAUUAAUUUUAAUUAAAAAAAAAUUUUAUAAAGUUACAGGUCAAGAUAUAAUUUAAAUAAAAGUUUAAUUUAGACACAAAAAAAAAUUAUUCAAUUAAAGAAUUUAAUAGUAAUAAAUAAUUUUUUUUUAAAAAAAAUAUGAAAUAAUUAUUUUAUGUACAUAUUGCCCAUCACUUUCAUUAUUAAAAUGAAAUAAGUUGAAACAUAGUAGAAAUAUAAGAAUAUGUUUCUAA